Long non-coding RNA from Ictalurus punctatus (channel catfish), 1618 nucleotides. The record is from Ensembl. NCBI's taxonomy places the organism in Eukaryota, Metazoa, Chordata, Actinopteri, Siluriformes, Ictaluridae.
AAAGACCUCACUGGUUAGCCAAUUAAUUACUAACCAAAGCUUAUUCUCAGAGAACUACAUUUGGUGCCAUAGACAAGCAUCACCAAUUUAUUUAGUGUGAUUUAGUGUUCAUGUUCACAAUACAUCAUGACUCAUCACUGUCCUCACACCAUCCUUCACAUGCCUACAAACAUACAUACAGCAAGAGAAUUUUCAUUCAUACAGCAGUGCGUGUUUAUCUUUGGGGAUUUUGCUGAACAUACCAUGGUUUGUGAAAUGUUUUUUGUGUUCUUCUGUAGACAGAAGAAUAGAUAAUAAAAAAAAUUAAUGGUGUGUUAAAGCUGGAUUUAAAUUUCAGAGCUUAAAUUGGUUUGUGGCAUUGAUAUACUGUACAUUGUCUCAUGAUAUUGGAGUGAUUAUACAGAGACUUGUUUGAUGUGUUAUCAUAAACUUUGCAGUGCUGAAAUCACAUCUUUAAAUGUUAUUCCAUAGCCAGGAUUUUUUCUCCCUGAAGUCUGUUGACCUGCUGUCUCAUCUGCUUACUCUGCUCACUUACCCAGAGACGCUUAUUGAGAAGCAAUGGUGGAGCUCUGGAUAUCUCCUGAUGGAUUCACAUGCUGUGUGCUGGACUCUGCUUCUGCUGACAUGUUACAAAAAUGUUCUACACUGGGUCACAGGGAGCCUGGAGCCUACCCAGGGGACUUGGGGCAUGAGUGUCAUAUCACAUCAAUUCCGUGACUACAUUUCCCAUCCUGCACUGCGGCCUACGAACAUGGCCGCCAUGGACUACACUUCCCACACACAUGUUCACCUUCUCCGGAAUUCUAAUCACACACACCUGUUGCCAGUCUCACACUUACUCGCUCCACACUAUAUAAGAGACUUUUUGAACACCAUGACUUUGUGAAGUAUUGAGUGUUCUCACCUCACCAAGCAUUUGUACACGUUUCCUUGUUUUGUUUUAUGUUCAUUGAUCUUGCUUCUUGUCCCUCUGUCACAUAUUAAACGUUAUGAAGGUGAGGAUGGAUGCAAGUGCAGAUAAGAGCUUUUAAUAAAGAGAGGCACACAGACAAAUCCAAAUCAUGAGACUAGCAUAUUCAAGAAACAGGCAAUAGACCAGACGAUCUGUAAACAGGCAUGAACUAUGCAAGGUAAGAAUCGUCAAUGAGGAACAAGAAGCAAGAUCAAGACCUGAUGUGCACCAAAUGUUACCAUUUUUAAAUACAAAUUUUAUAAAAAUAUUUAUUACUGUUUGCUGUUAAGUCUUCUAUACCUCUAUACUGUAAUGUACAAAAUCCCACUAUACCAGUAUUGUGACCCAGGAAAGGAUGGAUUAGUUUUUGAGUCUGGUUUUGUCAAGGUUUCUUCCUGAGGUAAUCACAGGGAGUUAUUACUUGCCAUUGUCCCUUCUGGCUUGCUCUUUAGGAAUCUAAAUCUAUAUCCAUAUAUAAGCUGAUUUGUGACAAAGGCUGUUGUUAAAAAACACUAUACAAAAAAAAAAUUAAAAUGAAUUGUAACUUGUUGCUGACUGCCCUGCUACUUCUUUAAGCAAGCUUCAGCUUCUUCAGAAUACAGCAAUGAACAACUUUACUAGGAGAAGAAAGCCAGAACACAUUUCCCUGGUUUUAGCUACACUGGC